GACGAACGCUGGCGGCGUGCUUAACACAUGCAAGUCGAACGGAAAGGCCCUGCUUUUGUGGGGUGCUCGAGUGGCGAACGGGUGAGUAACACGUGAGUAACCUGCCCUUGACUUUGGGAUAACUUCAGGAAACUGGGGCUAAUACCGGAUAGGAGCUCCUGCCGCAUGGUGGGGGUUGGAACGUUUCGGCGGUUGGGGAUGGACUCGCGGCUUAUCAGCUUGUUGGUGGGGUAGUGGCUUACCAAGGCUUUGACGGGUAGCCGGCCUGAGAGGGUGACCGGCCACAUUGGGACUGAGAUACGGCCCAGACUCCUACGGGAGGCAGCAGUGGGGAAUAUUGCACAAUGGGCGGAAGCCUGAUGCAGCAACGCCGCGUGCGGGAUGACGGCCUUCGGGUUGUAAACCGCUUUCGCCUGUGACGAAGCGUGAGUGACGGUAAUGGGUAAAGAAGCACCGGCUAACUACGUG
Molecule: ribosomal RNA, 468 nt
Filed under: uncultured bacterium
Lineage: Bacteria
Description: partial 16S ribosomal RNA
Rfam family: Bacterial small subunit ribosomal RNA
Source: RNAcentral